Long non-coding RNA from Microtus oregoni (creeping vole), 1159 nucleotides. RefSeq lists it as uncharacterized. Lineage: Eukaryota; Metazoa; Chordata; Mammalia; Rodentia; Cricetidae. The record is from RefSeq and is a predicted model, not a curated record. The transcript has 4 exons.
UGUGUUUGGAAGGUUUAGGGAAUAGUAACAUACUAUGGAAAGUCUAUUUUGAUGCCUGGAGCGCAAGUUCUACCGCGCUUCAGAGACUAUGAGUUAGAUUUUAUAACUCAGGAGCAAAUGCAACGUGUGUCCUGUACAACAUCUUGUUUGCAGGGGGCCCAAGCUGCAAAAUGCAUCAAGGGUCAGUAAGGGAAGCUUGUCUAUGGACUGGAUAUUACACUUCUGUUAAGAAAGUUACCGUGACUUCUGUUCUUGUAACUGCAUUGGGAUUAGGUGAACAGCCUGUACACAGAGGCCCUCUGCUUCCCACUCCCCAGGAGCUGUUGUUUCGAAGACAUGGAUCUACAAAACUAAUUCAUUUUAGGGACAAGUAUCUGACUGUUGGAAUUCACUAGAACUUCCGUCCCACAGGAGGGAGAUAAACACUGAAGAAAGGGCUGGUGGACAUGAAAGAAGAACAUCAGAAACCCCAGAACAUACCCGACACAGGCAAGCUCCUCCAUACUGGGGGCAGCCACUGUGAUGCUGGCAUAGGGAGGUGUUACAUCAGCUGACAAGAAAGAGAUUACAUCUCCAAGAACCUGAACCUCAGUAUGCUGGUUUGUCUAGAAAUUUAUACACACCUUGUAAGAGGCAUCAGCUGACAGAUGAGAAACCAGAAAUCUUACUCAGGUCACUUGGCUUGCUGGUGACAGCCGGGACUAAAGCGGCUCUUUCUGACUCCAGAGCUCCGGGAGACCUAGCUCCUGCCUGCGCUUUACUUGUUAAGGUUACAAACCCGUCUAGUGCAUCCUGGUCCUGGCUCAGAGUCCUUGCAUCCCACACAACCCGGAAGCCUCUCCACUAGCCUUCUACCGCCUAGAGCCCACCAGUGUUUAAGAAUGUUGGCGGUGCAGAGAGGAGGUCCAGGAAUUUUCUCAUCUCCUUUCCAGGGGCAGUUCCACACACUCAACCCAGGAUUGCUUCAGGAUAAAGUUCCCGAAAGGCUGUGAAGGAGAUGGAAGAAACUGAAAGACUGCACUGUUACCAAAAGCAAAGGAGUGUCUUGCUGGAUCCCGAAUGAAAUAACAGCAUUUUCUGACACAGGACUUGGGAAACAACUGGGGAAAUUACUAUUGUAUUGGGAAGUAUGUGAAAAGUGAAGUUACAUAAAAACGGU